AAGUCGUAACAAGGUCUCCGUUGGUGAACCAGCGGAGGGAUCAUUAUUGAGUUUCUAUCUCUUCUACCCUUUGUGAACCUUACCUUUUGCCUUCCCUAUACCCUAGGGGAAGCUGUUUUUUUUUUGUCUACCUAACAUAACUCUUACUAGAUGUUUUUAAACUUGCUGAGUUAAGCAUAUUGUAAAAUGAAAUCAAAACUUUCAACAACGGAUCUCUUGGUUCUG
This 225-nucleotide unclassified non-coding RNA is filed under the name fungal sp. RNAcentral's name for it is "partial internal transcribed spacer region". The stretch from base 1 to 46 matches the Rfam family "Eukaryotic small subunit ribosomal RNA", at positions 1786 to 1831 of the family's 1831-position model. RNAcentral also lists the same sequence under 2 other names. The record is from RNAcentral. Lineage: Eukaryota; Fungi.